Molecule: ribosomal RNA, 465 nt
Filed under: uncultured bacterium
Lineage: Bacteria
Description: partial 16S ribosomal RNA
Rfam family: Bacterial small subunit ribosomal RNA
Source: RNAcentral
GACGAACGCUGGCGGCGUGCUUAAUACAUGCAAGUCGAACGGAAAGGCCCUGCUUGCAGGGUACUCGAGUGGCGAACGGGCGAGUAACACGUGGGUGAUCUGCCCUGCACUUCGGGAUAAGCCUGGGCAACUGGGUCUAAUACCGGAUAGGAGCCAUUUUUAGUGUGAUGGUUGGAAAGUUUUUUCGGUGUAGGGUGAGCUCGCGGCCUAUCGGCUUGUUGGUGGGGUAAUGGCCUACCAAGGCGGCGACGGGUAGCCGGCCUGAGAGGGUGGACGGCCACAUUGGGACCGAGGUGCGGCCCAGACACCUACUGGAGGCAGCAGUGGGGAAUAUUGCACAAUGGGCGCAAGCCUGAUGCAGCGAGGCCGCGUAGGGGAUGACGGCCUUCGUGUUGUAAACUCCUUUCGCUAGGGACUAAGCUUUUUGUGACGGUACCUAGAUAGGAAGCACCGGCUAACUACGUG